Long non-coding RNA from Dreissena polymorpha, 1132 nucleotides. RefSeq lists it as uncharacterized. The record is from RefSeq and is a predicted model, not a curated record. The transcript is spliced from 5 exons. NCBI's taxonomy places the organism in Eukaryota, Metazoa, Mollusca, Bivalvia, Myida, Dreissenidae.
GUAAUAUGAUGUUGAUAUAAAUGUCUAUUGUAUGAUUGCUGUCUUAAGUACUUUUGACGUGUUUGUAAAUUUGAGUCAAGCUCUAAAGUGCAAUCCUGAAUAAGGAUAAUGUCCGGUAAAUAACCCCGAGUAAAACAUGUCAUCUGGUACUCAGGGCGCAUGAUCACGCGACUGUGUGGGGUUUACAAUUGAACGUUAAUGAAUGUAAACACAGCGCUCGAGGAUUUUUGCUUGAUUUGGGGAAGGGCCUGGCAUUCAAUUUGCGAGAAAAAAUAUAGACAAAACUGUAAAAGAGGAAGAAAUUUUCCGAAAGCUCAAUAUCAUCGAAUCGGAGUGAAGGCUCAGGGUCUACUAGUACAGAAUCAUAUGAUUUUGUUCUUCCUUCACGUGGUCGGGGAAGAGGACGAGGAGCCAGUAGGCAGCUUGAACCCCGUCCAGGACCAAGUAAUGAAUCUGGUCGAGGGAGAUCCAGGGGAAAGCGGGGAAAAACCAAGGAAAAGAUGGCUUUCACUUUGUCAGCAAACGAUGUUACCAGGUUGCAGCUGACACACCAGCAUAAGAAGGAGCAAUGUGAUGCCUUGGUGGACCGACUCACUGGUGAAGAAGCCAAAGAUCUCCUUAAGGUCGUUCCUCGAACUUGUCGCUUCGGACAAACUGCAGGCUGGUCCGUUUUUUUAAAACAGGCAUUUAAAAAAUCCUUAAGUAGACCUUGACAUUGAGGAGCUAGCACAGGGGUGGCAUAAUUUCUUCACUGCACUAUUGAGAUGAACAUUUGAUCAAAGUUUGAUGAAAACAAGAGCACCGCAUAACGGGAGCCACGCUCGGCUGCGAAAGCUUGACAGAUUUUUUAAAAGAUUUUUUAGAGGUUACAGUGUCCUUGACCUUUGACCUAGUGAACCAAAUAUAGGUGUGGCGUGUAGAACUCAUCAAGGUGCAUGCACAUAUGAAGUUUCAAAGUUGUAGGUGGAAGCACGGUGAUGUUAGGGGCAAAGUUAUUUUUUAUAUUAGAGGUCACAGUGACCUUGACCUUUGACCUAGUGACCCAAAAAAUCGGUGUGGCGUGCAGAACUUAUCAAGGUGCAUGUACAUAUGAAGUGUCAAAAUUGUAGGUGGAAGCAUUAUAAUUUUAGAG